Molecule: ribosomal RNA, 357 nt
Filed under: uncultured bacterium
Lineage: Bacteria
Description: bacterial SSU rRNA
Rfam family: Bacterial small subunit ribosomal RNA
Source: RNAcentral
CUAGCGACUUCAGAGUUUGAUCCUGGCUCAGGAUGAACGCUGGCGGCGUGCCUAACACAUGCAAGUCGAACGAAGCUCUUACGACGGAACUCUUCGGAGGGAAGAUGUAUUAGACUUAGUGGCGGACGGGUGAGUAACGCGUGGGUAACCUGCCCUGUACAGGGGGACAACAGUUAGAAAUGACUGCUAAUACCGCAUAAACCUCCGGGAUCGCAUGAUUCAGAAGGAAAAACUCCGGUGGUACAGGAUGGGCCCGCGUCUGAUUAGCUAGUUGGUGAGGUAACGGCCCACCAAGGCGACGAUCAGUAGCCGGCUUGAGAGAGUGAACGGCCACAUUGGGACUGAGACACGGCCCAA